CCUACGGGUGGCAGCAGUGGGGAAUUUUCCGCAAUGGGCGAAAGCCUGACGGAGCAACGCCGCGUGAGGGAUGAAGGCCUCUGGGCUGUAAACCUCUUUUCUCAAGGAAGAAGACCUGACGGUACUUGAGGAAUAAGCCACGGCUAAUUCCGUGCCAGCAGCCGCGGUAAUACGGGAGUGGCAAGCGUUAUCCGGAAUUAUUGGGCGUAAAGCGUCCGCAGGUGGCCCUGUAAGUCUGUCGUUAAAGCGUGGAGCUUAACUCCAUUUAAGCGAUGGAAACUACAGGGCUAGAGUGUGGUAGGGGCAGAGGGAAUUCCCGGUGUAGCGGUGAAAUGCGUAGAUAUCGGGAAGAACACCAGUGGCGAAGGCGCUCUGCUGGGCCAUCACUGACACUCAUGGACGAAAGCCAGGGGAGCGAAAGGGAUUAGAUACCCCAGUAGUC
This 442-nucleotide ribosomal RNA is filed under the name uncultured bacterium. RNAcentral describes it as "bacterial SSU rRNA". It matches the Rfam family "Bacterial small subunit ribosomal RNA", at positions 338 to 795 of the family's 1533-position model. The record is from RNAcentral.